CCUACGUGGGGCAGCAGUUGGGCAUAUUGCACAAUGGGCGAAAGCCUGAUGCAGCAACGCCGCGUGAGCGAUGAAGGCUUUCGGGUCGUAAAGCUCUGUCCUCAGGGAAGAUAAUGACGGUACUUGAGGACGAAGCCCCGGCUACCUACGUGCCAGCAGCCGCGGUAAUACGUAGGGGUCUAGCGUUAUCCGGAUUUACUGGGCGUAACGGGUGCGUAGGUGGUUUCUUACUUCAGAGGUGAAAGUCCACGCCUAAACCGUAGUAAGCCUUUGAACAUUGGAAACUUGAGUGCAGGAGAGGGAAGUGGAAUUCCUAGUGUAGCGGUGAAAUGCGUAGAUAUUAGGAGGAACACCAGUUGCGAAGGCGGCUCUCUGGACUGUAACUGACACUGAGGCACGAAAGCGUGGGGAGCAAACAGGAUUAGAUACCCCUGUAGUC
RNAcentral lists this ribosomal RNA (439 nucleotides) under uncultured bacterium. RNAcentral's name for it is "partial 16S ribosomal RNA". It matches the Rfam family "Bacterial small subunit ribosomal RNA", at positions 338 to 795 of the family's 1533-position model. The record is from RNAcentral.